RNAcentral lists this ribosomal RNA (352 nucleotides) under uncultured bacterium. Its description in RNAcentral is "bacterial SSU rRNA". It matches the Rfam family "Bacterial small subunit ribosomal RNA", at positions 29 to 371 of the family's 1533-position model. The record is from RNAcentral.
AACGAACGCUGGCGGCGCGCCUAAUACAUGCAAGUCGAGCGAGAAGACGUAGCAAUACGUUUGUAAAGCGGCGAACGGGUGAGGAAUACAUGGGUAACCUACCCUCGAGUGGGGAAUAACUAGCCGAAAGGUUAGCUAAUACCGCGUACGCUCCUUGGACUUCGGUUCAGGGAGGAAAGCGAUACCGUGGGUAUCGCGCUCUUGGAUGGGCUCAUGUCCUAUCAGCUUGUUGGUGAGGUAACGGCUCACCAAGGCUUCGACGGGUAGCUGGUCUGAGAGGACGAUCAGCCACACUGGCACUGCGACACGGGCCAGACUCCUACGGGAGGCAGCAGUAAGGAAUAUUGCGCAA